RNAcentral lists this ribosomal RNA (2389 nucleotides) under Staphylococcus aureus. Its description in RNAcentral is "partial 23S ribosomal RNA". It matches the Rfam family "Bacterial large subunit ribosomal RNA", at positions 1 to 2388 of the family's 2925-position model. The record is from RNAcentral. Lineage: Bacteria; Bacillati; Bacillota; Bacilli; Caryophanales; Staphylococcaceae.
GAUUAAGUUAUUAAGGGCGCACGGUGGAUGCCUUGGCACUAGAAGCCGAUGAAGGACGUUACUAACGACGAUAUGCUUUGGGGAGCUGUAAGUAAGCUUUGAUCCAGAGAUUUCCGAAUGGGGAAACCCAGCAUGAGUUAUGUCAUGUUAUCGAUAUGUGAAUACAUAGCAUAUCAGAAGGCACACCCGGAGAACUGAAACAUCUUAGUACCCGGAGGAAGAGAAAGAAAAUUCGAUUCCCUUAGUAGCGGCGAGCGAAACGGGAAGAGCCCAAACCAACAAGCUUGCUUGUUGGGGUUGUAGGACACUCUAUACGGAGUUACAAAGGACGACAUUAGACGAAUCAUCUGGAAAGAUGAAUCAAAGAAGGUAAUAAUCCUGUAGUCGAAAAUGUUGUCUCUCUUGAGUGGAUCCUGAGUACGACGGAGCACGUGAAAUUCCGUCGGAAUCUGGGAGGACCAUCUCCUAAGGCUAAAUACUCUCUAGUGACCGAUAGUGAACCAGUACCGUGAGGGAAAGGUGAAAAGCACCCCGGAAGGGGAGUGAAAUAGAACCUGAAACCGUGUGCUUACAAGUAGUCAGAGCCCGUUAAUGGGUGAUGGCGUGCCUUUUGUAGAAUGAACCGGCGAGUUACGAUUUGAUGCAAGGUUAAGCAGUAAAUGUGGAGCCGUAGCGAAAGCGAGUCUGAAUAGGGCGUUUAGUAUUUGGUCGUAGACCCGAAACCAGGUGAUCUACCCUUGGUCAGGUUGAAGUUCAGGUAACACUGAAUGGAGGACCGAACCGACUUACGUUGAAAAGUGAGCGGAUGAACUGAGGGUAGCGGAGAAAUUCCAAUCGAACCUGGAGAUAGCUGGUUCUCUCCGAAAUAGCUUUAGGGCUAGCCUCAAGUGAUGAUUAUUGGAGGUAGAGCACUGUUUGGACGAGGGGCCCCUCUCGGGUUACCGAAUUCAGACAAACUCCGAAUGCCAAUUAAUUUAACUUGGGAGUCAGAACAUGGGUGAUAAGGUCCGUGUUCGAAAGGGAAACAGCCCAGACCACCAGCUAAGGUCCCAAAAUAUAUGUUAAGUGGAAAAGGAUGUGGCGUUGCCCAGACAACUAGGAUGUUGGCUUAGAAGCAGCCAUCAUUUAAAGAGUGCGUAAUAGCUCACUAGUCGAGUGACACUGCGCCGAAAAUGUACCGGGGCUAAACAUAUUACCGAAGCUGUGGAUUGUCCUUUGGACAAUGGUAGGAGAGCGUUCUAAGGGCGUUGAAGCAUGAUCGUAAGGACAUGUGGAGCGCUUAGAAGUGAGAAUGCCGGUGUGAGUAGCGAAAGACGGGUGAGAAUCCCGUCCACCGAUUGACUAAGGUUUCCAGAGGAAGGCUCGUCCGCUCUGGGUUAGUCGGGUCCUAAGCUGAGGCCGACAGGCGUAGGCGAUGGAUAACAGGUUGAUAUUCCUGUACCACCUAUAAUCGUUUUAAUCGAUGGGGGGACGCAGUAGGAUAGGCGAAGCGUGCGAUUGGAUUGCACGUCUAAGCAGUAAGGCUGAGUAUUAGGCAAAUCCGGUACUCGUUAAGGCUGAGCUGUGAUGGGGAGAAGACAUUGUGUCUUCGAGUCGUUGAUUUCACACUGCCGAGAAAAGCCUCUAGAUAGAAAAUAGGUGCCCGUACCGCAAACCGACACAGGUAGUCAAGAUGAGAAUUCUAAGGUGAGCGAGCGAACUCUCGUUAAGGAACUCGGCAAAAUGACCCCGUAACUUCGGGAGAAGGGGUGCUCUUUAGGGUUAACGCCCAGAAGAGCCGCAGUGAAUAGGCCCAAGCGACUGUUUAUCAAAAACACAGGUCUCUGCUAAACCGUAAGGUGAUGUAUAGGGGCUGACGCCUGCCCGGUGCUGGAAGGUUAAGAGGAGUGGUUAGCUUCUGCGAAGCUACGAAUCGAAGCCCCAGUAAACGGCGGCCGUAACUAUAACGGUCCUAAGGUAGCGAAAUUCCUUGUCGGGUAAGUUCCGACCCGCACGAAAGGCGUAACGAUUUGGGCACUGUCUCAACGAGAGACUCGGUGAAAUCAUAGUACCUGUGAAGAUGCAGGUUACCCGCGACAGGACGGAAAGACCCCGUGGAGCUUUACUGUAGCCUGAUAUUGAAAUUCGGCACAGCUUGUACAGGAUAGGUAGGAGCCUUUGAAACGUGAGCGCUAGCUUACGUGGAGGCGCUGGUGGGAUACUACCCUAGCUGUGUUGGCUUUCUAACCCGCACCACUUAUCGUGGUGGGAGACAGUGUCAGGCGGGCAGUUUGACUGGGGCGGUCGCCUCCUAAAAGGUAACGGAGGCGCUCAAAGGUUCCCUCAGAAUGGUUGGAAAUCAUUCAUAGAGUGUAAAGGCAUAAGGGAGCUUGACUGCGAGACCUACAAG